This 4590-nucleotide long non-coding RNA is filed under the name Marmota monax (woodchuck). The stretch from base 4500 to 4568 matches the Rfam family "tRNA". The record is from RNAcentral. Lineage: Eukaryota; Metazoa; Chordata; Mammalia; Rodentia; Sciuridae.
GUGCUCUGUGGGCGGAACUCGCUUUGUGCAAGGCCGGCGCUGAUUGGCCGGCGUACGCGCGGGUUCCCGAACGUUUCUGCGUUGCCUGCUCUCGCGGCGCCUGCGCCCUCUAACUGAAGUUUUUUGGCGCCGGCUGGGCCCAGAGCGCGGGGGCGACGUAAUCGCGCGGUCUCCUAUUCCUGGACACUGCUAGGUCCUAUAGGCCUUGGAGUUCACGGAGGCGCCGCGCACGGCCCCAGCCUGCGCUUCUCGCCGGGCCUCCAGGCGGCCAUGGAGAAAAGGGUUCGCUCUGUGUUCCUGCUGAUGAGCCCAAAAGCGCCAGAAGUUCAGGGCCCGCGGAGUUCUCUGGCCUCUCGGGAUGAGCGCGGAUGAGCUGGGGGCCUGAAACAUCCCCUGGCUGCAGGUGAUUCCCUCCCGGGCCACGCGCCCGAAGCUGCGACCUGAUAGCUGGUGAUAAAGGCAGUAGUGUCUGUUCAUGAGCAGUGCACAAGCAGCCCGUUUCAUACCACUGUAUGGGGGGCAAGCUCCAAGGGGACUUCGUGGAGGUGACAGAGCGGGUGGGCCGAGAAGAGGGACGGGGCAGGCUGACCACAAAGUUGGGCCUUUGGCCACCCACAAGUUCCUUCUUAGUUACUUGGUAGUAAUGCACCCGUUAAAAUGCGGUGGCUGCCAAGUCAUUAAGUCAGUAGAGCCAAAGGGAACACAGUCUUUUGAGUUAUGCUUUUGCCAGGUACACAGAUAAGUUGCCUUGUGGGAAACAGCAAUCCAGAGCACGUCCUUCCAUAGCUAGGUUAUUUCCGGGGCAUCUGAUUCCUAUCUGCCCCCACCGAGCCAGGAUACCUGCAGCUCCGGAGGUGUUGGUUAAAAAUCGCGCUGGAGGACUGGGGGUAGGCCCCUGAUAAGCGCUUGCCUAGCAUGCAGGAGACUUCGGGUCCAAUCUCCAACAUCGAAAACAAAAAUCUCUGGAGAUCUUCAAUCAAGAGGACUGUGUUGGGUUCCUUGAUUGUAUUUUAACAAGGGCCCAAGGGAAUUGUGAAGAGUAAUCAAAUUAUUUUGCAGUUUUUACCAGCACACCCCCGAGACUCUAUAGGAAACCCACAGCUACCCACUGGCUCUCUGAUCAGGGCAGGAGACUGGGAUCCGUCCGGUGAUUCCACACCCUAUCCUGUGGUCUGUGGAGAGCCUCCUGAGGAAGUUCACACUUUGAGCUCUGUGGAAUAGGGGCCAGGGGGCUAUUUCAGGGGUGGGGAGGUGGCCAGGGACAGAGAAUGGCAUGAGUCAAAAUGUGGAAUAAAACCGUCAGGCUUAAGCACUGUUGGAAAGAGCAGGAAUGGUGAGCAGUGGGCAUGAUGAAGUGUCAGGGAUGAAUUCCACAGUACAGUACUGCUUGUCAUUCAGAUCUCAGUGUAUAUCACCUCCUAAGGGGCCUUCCCCAGCCCUCAAUGAAAUGUGCUGCCUGGAGACUAUCACACUGAAAUUGAAUCCCCUUAGGUACUUACUUACUUACUCAUAUACUUUCUUUGCUGUUUGCCCCUCCCCCAUCACGAAAACACUGUUCUUUGCUAUAUUCCUGGUGGCUCAAGCAUUGCCUUGCACACAGUAAUGCUGAAAAUUGCUUGCUAAAUGCAUGAGUGAAGUAGGCAGAAGCAGAGGGAGAGCUGGUACAGCCUGGAGUCAAGUCAUGUUGCUUUGGAGUCUGGGGCAUCAAGAUAGCAAUGCCUAAUACUUACAUAAUGCUCCAAGUGCCAGGCUUUAUCCCAGCUCUUUGGGGCUGGGGCUGUAGCUCAAUGGCAGAGUGCUUGCCUAGCACAAGUGAGGCACUGGGUUCAAUCCUUAGCAUCACAUAAAAAUAAAUAAAAUAAAGGCAUGUUAUCCAUUUACAACUACAAGAAAAUUUUUAAAGAAAUCAUGAAUUCACAAAUUAAUUAUGAUUCUAAAUAACCUGAAAAUGUUAUCAGAGUUUUACAGAAACCAGGGCAUCAAAAGGUAAAUUAACUUGUCCAGAGUCACACAGCUAAUAAAUGGAAGAGAUAGGACAUAGAUAACAACCCUGAUAGAAACAAAAGAAUAAUAAAAUUUAUAGAUCAGUUUCCUUUCAUGAAGAGUCCUGCCCUUAUGACAUUCUUUUGUUUACCUCUGUUAUCACAGCAACUGGUACAGUACUGGACACACAACAGAUCUCAGCAAACAUGAAUUGAAAAGUCAGCCAGACACAGUGGUGCAUGCCUGUAACCCCAGCAGCUUGGGAGGCUGAGAUAGGAGCAUACAAGUUCAAAUCCAGCCUCAGCAACAGCAAGGCACUAAGCAACUCAGUGAGACCCUGUCUCUAAAUAAAAUACCAAAUAGGGCUGGGAAUGUGUCUCAGUGGUUGAAUGCCCCUGAGUUCAAUCCCUGUUACCAAGAAAAAAAAGAAAAGUCAGUUACAAAUAUACCACAUAAGAUUUAAAAAGAAAUAAACAUAAAAAACCAACUGAGAAACUGCUCUGUUGGACCAGUUUUCUUGUCUGUAAUAUGGGGGUGAUAGUAGUACCUGGCUCUCAGGGUGUGAUGAGUGUUAAGUGAAAUAUUGCACAUUUUUUGUUUUUUUGCUUUUGCUGGUACUGGGGAUUUAACUAGAGCUCUCUAUCACUAAUCCAUACCCCAAGCCCUUUUUACAUUUUUAUUUUAAGACAGGGUCUUGUGUGUUGCCCAGGCUGGCUUUGAACUUGAGAUUCUGCAUCAGCCUCCUGAGUUGCUCGGAUUACAGGCAUAUACCAUCUUACUCUGUUUCGUUUUUGUUUUGUUUCUUUCAUAACACCAUUUCUUUUUUUUUUUAAGUUGGUGCCUUUUUUAUCUUCCACAAUUUUAAAAUUUCUAUUCUUUUAGAUAUAUAUGACAGUAGGGUAUAUUUUGACAUAUUUACACAAACAUGGAGUAUAUCUUAUACUAAUUAGAACAAUUUAUUUAUUUUAAUCCAUUUUUUAAGAGCAUAUAAUAAGCUCAGGAGGGAAGAUGACUGUUAUAGCCUAUGAGAAAGAAGGAGGGUUAGAAAGAGAAGAAUUGAGAUAAUCUUAAGUGAGGAAGUUUUCUUGAAUGAGGGGUCCCCUGUCCCAGACCAAUUGUAAAAUAAGGGUAAAGGCGGACAUUGCACAGAGGUUCUGGAGAGCAGGAUUCUUGUCUGGCUCUGCCUGUGCAUAGGUGCUCUGCUCGGCCAGUGAAUGGGGUGCACAUAUGAGAAUUAAGGAAAUUCUGGUCUGCCCUGCUGGUCUCUUGUCUUUCUUCCCAGGGAAAGGGAAGGAAGGCUGGAUAGGAGUUUAGUGGGCAGAGGCAGGAGAGAAGGAAUGGACACAGUCUCAAACUCCAAAGGAUUGAAUUGGUAAGUAGCAGCAGAAGAAGGAACUGCCUUCAGCACAGCUGACUGCUUUGAACAUGUUAAUGCCUGGGUCCUUGGAUGAGUGAAAAUUGUAAAUGGAAACCUGCCUGGCCUAAAAUGAGUGAGCAUAUGUGAAAUACUACCUUCUUCCACAUGAUCUUGGACCUCAGAUUUUCCUUUUUUUUUUUUUUUUUUAAUAUUUAUUUAGUUAGUUAGUUUUCAGCAGACACAGCAUCUUUGUUGGUAUGUGGUGCUGAGGAUCGAACCUGGGCCACACCCCCAGCCCUCAGAUUUUCCUUUUGUUGUUUGUUUUUUGUGGUGCUGAGGAUUGAACCCAGGGCCUUCCACAUGCAAGGCACACACUCUACCAACUGAGCUAUAUCCCCAGUUCUCAGACUCUCGUCUUUUAAGUAAAGGUAGUAACUCCUGUUCCUCUAUGCCUAGGCACUACGAGUAAGGCAAAGACGAUCACACCCACAUCCUUUUAAGAUUCUGACUCCAAGAGCUGAGAUCCUGGAAAGGAAACCAUCUUUGGGCUGCUCAAAUGCCCAGAAACUUAAGGAAAGCCACUUCAGCUUGACUCCCUUGCUGCCAGGGUCUGAGUACUGUCCCCAUCCCAAGCUGUAACUGAUAAGACAGCAUGGGGGUGUGGGGGGAACUAAGGUGGUUGGUUUGUUUCCAAGUGCUGCUCUUAAUUUUGAAAAGAUUUAAAAAGAUGGACAGUAAAUAAGUCUCCCUCCUGUCCAUAGCUCCUAGUAAGGCAGUGCCAGAAGCAGUCUCUUGUGUGUCUUCCACCUUCAGACUAUGCAUUUACCAAUAACUAUAUUUAUUAUUUUAAUAUAAAUGUUAUACUUGAUGUACUGUUCUGAACUCUCCCUUCUUUUUAAAUUAAUUACAUUUUGUAACCCAUCCCACAUCAGUAUAAGUAGAGCUGCUCCUUCUUUUUAAAAGCUACAGCAUUCUCCUUAUGUGGAAGGAUCACUUUAUUUAACCAGCUGCCUCGCUGGAUGUGUUGAAUUGUUUCCUACGUUUGGCUAUUACUACAGACUGCUCUAACCCUUUUACAUACUUUGUUUUACAUGUAUACAAAUCACAUCUGUAGAAUGCUUAAAUGGUGCUGGGUCAAAAAGCAUGACGUUUGGGGGCUGGGGUUGUGGCUCAGCGGUAGAGCGCUCGCAUAGCAUGUGUGAGGCCCUGGGUUCGAUCCUCAACACCACAUAAAAAUAAACAAAAUAAAU